Long non-coding RNA from Leopardus geoffroyi (Geoffroy's cat), 921 nucleotides. RefSeq lists it as uncharacterized. The transcript has 2 exons. Lineage: Eukaryota; Metazoa; Chordata; Mammalia; Carnivora; Felidae. The record is from RefSeq and is a predicted model, not a curated record.
AUCUGGGGCGGGUUGAGUCUUAAAAGGCUGUGAAUCAUCAUCCCCUCUCCUUUGCAUUUUCCCAAUGAAAAUUUCCCUCAAAGAAAUUCUAGUAGCGGAAAUGAUUACAUAAUUGCAGCCCUGUUCUAUUGUUGCACUGUUUUACAGCUGCUCUUCCUAUUUAUUACCCCUCCAUACCUGUUUAUGUUCCAAUACGAAAGGGUGCUCAAUAAAAAUGUUGCUGAAGAAAGGUUACUUCCAGGGAGCAAGAGCAGUGCAGUGUGCAGAUUGGCCCUUGGAUGUCCCCACCUCUGAAGGAGUGAUGGGUGUCUCAGUACUGGCCGGCUCAGGGGAGGACUCCACUAAUUAGCUCACCCUUCGGUCCCUGGAGAGGACUAGCCGUGGCUUUGCUCCUUGACUCCUCUCUACCCUGUUCCCCCCGCAGGCUCGGAUUGCUAACUGUGGAUGGCCAAGUCAAAUGUCUAUUAAAAAAAUCCUGCUUCCUGACAUUCCCCAGUGGCUGUGUGACAAAUCAAGGUUACCUUGAAAGCAAUGCAGAGGGGGAAACCCAUCCAUCUGUCAAGAUGUGAGUCACCAGUGUGAUGUCAUCUGAAUCUCAACUGAUUCCAUUAAUUUUGACUGUGAAAGAGGAAGUCUCUCUGAGAGCAUCUGGUAACAGUCUACAUGUUCCCUUUGAUUGGACCACCUUACGUCACAUGGUGACUGAUUGGCCUGGCCUUAGCCUUGGGUUCUACUUUUGGAACCAGGGGUGAACUCAACUUCCCUGGUGUCCUAUCUCCCCAAAUAAGAGGAUGGAAGCUUGUGGGAAAUUGGAACAUUUACAUCGAUCAGCAAAUGGAUGGUGGCGAUUCAGUCAACCCACACACACUAUACUAUGGACUUCUGAGAAUGAAACAACUUUAUUAAAUGUCUACUUAUGUA